This 238-nucleotide ribosomal RNA is filed under the name uncultured bacterium. Its description in RNAcentral is "partial 16S ribosomal RNA". It matches the Rfam family "Bacterial small subunit ribosomal RNA", at positions 28 to 269 of the family's 1533-position model. The record is from RNAcentral.
GACGAACGCUGGCGGCGUGCUUAACACAUGCAAGUCGAGCGGUAAGGCCCUUCGGGUACGACGAGCGGCGAACGGGUGAGUAACACGUGGGUGACCUGCCUCUAGCUCUGGGAUAAGCCUGGGAAACUGGGUCGUAAUACCGGAUAUGACUCCACGGCGCAUGUUUGUGGGGUGGAAAGCCUUGUGUGGCUAGAGAUGGGCCCGCGGCUAUCAGCUUGUUGGUGGGGUGAUGGCCACC